Notothenia coriiceps (black rockcod) is the source of this 509-nucleotide long non-coding RNA. RefSeq lists it as uncharacterized. The transcript is spliced from 3 exons. The record is from RefSeq and is a predicted model, not a curated record. Lineage: Eukaryota; Metazoa; Chordata; Actinopteri; Perciformes; Nototheniidae.
CUACCAUGCUCCCAGUAUUAAGCUAACAACCCAGCUUGCGGUCACUGCUACUCGUUCCAGGCAUAUUCUGAAGCAUUAAGAAAAAAAGAUGGCAACCUCCUCCACAACCUUGACUGUAUGGAUAGUUGGAGACAGCUGUGUCCGGCAUGCAGCCAUGAGAGCUACAGAGAUCAUCGGCAGCAACCUUUGCCUCGACCUGCGCGUCUGCUGGUUCGGUUGGGGUGGACUGCGCUGGAGAUUUCACCCCUAGGGGAAAUGAUAUUUUUUUAAAGUCACUAGCCAAUUGCCUGAAAGACCAUCUCCAAAAACUGUGAACUGCUAAAAUGUCAGUAUCACUGUUUUUGGAUUUGGCCUUUAGAGUAUGUAUUCUAAGGCCCUUGCUAAGCCCAGACUGUCAUGGCAAAUGUUGAGUUAGAUAUUACAUCUGUAGCCAUAACACUGUUAACAUGGCUGCUCUUCCUAACUAAAAAGCAUGGACACAAGACAUGGACAAAAAAUAAAUAAAAAUG